GAUGAAGAACGCAGCGAAAUGCGAUACUUGGUGUGAAUUGCAGAAUCCCGUGAACCAUCGAGUCUUUGAACGCAAGUUGCGCCCGAAGCCAUUAGGCCGAGGGCACGCCUACCUGGGCGUCACACGUCGUUGCCCCCCCAUCUACUCCUUCGGGAUUGCGGGGGGCGGAUGAUGGCCUCCCGUGCGCCUCGUCGCGCGGUUGGCAUAAAUGCCAAGUCCUCGGCGACGCACGCCACGACAAUCGGUGGUUGCGAAACCUCGGUUGCCCGUCGUGUGCGGUCGUCGCGCAUCGAGGGCUCGAAAAAAUUGCCGGGCUCCGGCUCGGCUUUCAACGCGACCCCAGGUCAGGCGGGGUUACCCGCUGAAUUUAAGCAUAUCAAUAAGCGGAGGA
Molecule: unclassified non-coding RNA, 391 nt
Filed under: soil metagenome
Description: partial contains 5.8S ribosomal RNA, internal transcribed spacer 2, and large subunit ribosomal RNA
Rfam family: 5.8S ribosomal RNA (bases 1-122)
Source: RNAcentral